AUACUUGUGAAAAUACCUUUUGAUAUAUACAUAUGUAUGUAUCAUUAAGGUAUGUAUUUGUUAGAUAUAAGAAUAAAAUAAAUAUAAUUGAAUUAUAACAAAGAAGAAACACAUAAAAUAUGUGUAUUAUCAAUCGAGUAUCUGACCUAUCAGCUUUUGAUGUUAGGGUAUUGACCUAACAUGGCUAUGACGGGUAACGGGGAAUUAGAGUUCGAUUCCGGAGAGGGAGCCUGAGAAAUAGCUACCACAUCUAAGGAAGGCAGCAGGCGCGUAAAUUACCCAAUUCUAAAAAAGAGAGGUAGUGACAAGAAAUAACAAUACAAUAUCGAAAAAUGAUUUUGUAAUUGGAAUGAUAGGAAUUUACAAGGUUCCUAGAGAAACAAUUGGAGGGCAAGUCUGGUGCCAGCAGCCGCGGUAAUUCCAGCUCCAAUAGCAUAUAUUAAAAUUGUUGCAGUUAAAACGUUCGUAGUUGAAUAUUAAAGAAUCCGAUGUUUCAUUUAAACUGGUUUGGGAAAACCAAAUAUAUUAUAUAUUUUGCUUUGUUCAAAAUAAGGUUUUCUAAUAAAUUAUGUUUUUAUCAGAUAUGACAGAAUCUUUUUUAAAAUCUCUUCAAUAUGCUUUUAUUGCUUUUGAGAGGUUUUGUUACUUUGAGUAAAAUUAAGUGUUCAUAACAGACGGGUAGUCAUGAUUGAGUUCAUUGUGUUUGAAUACUACAGCAUGGAAUAACAAAUAUGAAUAAGCUAAUUAUUUUUUUUUUUCAUAAUUUUUUUUGAUAUUCUUAUUAGCUUAGUUACGAUUAAUAGGAGUAGCUUUGGGGGCAUUCGUAUUCAGAUGUCAGAGGUGAAAUUCUAAGAUUUUCUGGAGACGGACUACUGCGAAAGCAUUUGCCUAAUCUAUUUCCAUUAAUCAAGAACGAAAGUUAAGGGAGUGAAGACGAUCAGAUACCGUCGUAAUCUUAACCAUAAACUAUACCGACUAGGUGUUGGAUGAAUAUAAAAAAUAUAUAAAUAUGUAGCAUUUCUUAGGGAAUGUUGAUUUUAUAUUAGAAUUGCUUCCUUCAGUACCUUAUGAGAAAUCAAAGUCUUUGGGUUCUGGGGCGAGUAUUCGCGCAAGCGAGAAAGUUAAAAGAAUUGACGGAAGGGCACCACCAGGCGUGGAGCUUGCGGCUUAAUUUGACUCAACACGGGAAAACUCACUAGUUUAAGACAAGAGUAGGAUUGACAGAUUAAUAGCUCUUUCUUGAUUUCUUGGAUGGUGAUGCAUGGCCGUUUUUAGUUCGUGAAUAUGAUUUGUCUGGUUAAUUCCGAUAACGAACGAGAUCUUAACCUGCUAAUUAGCGGUAAGUACACUAUAUUUUUAUUUGAAAUUGAAUAUAGGUAAUUAUACAUGUUUAUUCAGUGUUCAAAUUAGGAUAUUUUUUUAUUAAAAUAUUCUUUUCCCUGUUCUACUAUAAUAAUUUGUUUUUUUUUACUCUAUUUCUCUCUUCUUUUAAGAAUGUACUUGUUUGAUUAAAUAAAGCUUCUUAGAGGAACAGUGUGUAUCUAACACAAGGAAGUUUAAGGCAACAACAGGUCUGUGAUGUCCUUAGAUAAACUAGGCUGCACGCGUGCUACAAUGAUAUAUAUAACAAGUUGUUAAAAAUGUACUUAUAAAUAAGUGUGUACAGUUUUUCCUGUACUGAAAAGUAUAGGUAAUCUUUAUCAGUAUAUAUCGUAAUUGGGAUAGAUUAUUGCAAUUAUUAAUCUUGAACGAGGAAUGCCUAGUAAGCAUGAUUCAUUAGAUUGUGCUGACUACGUCCCUGCCCUUUGUACACACCGCCCGUCGCUCCUACCGAUUGAAAGAUAUGAUGAAUUGUUUGGAUAUGAAUUAAAAUAAUGAAAUUUUAUAUUUCUGAUUUUUUCUAGAAGAACUGUAAAUCCUAUCUUUUAAAGGAAGGAGAAGUCGUAACAAGGUUUCCGUAGGUGAACCUGCGGAAG
RNAcentral lists this ribosomal RNA (1976 nucleotides) under Plasmodium falciparum 377.1. RNAcentral's name for it is "SSU rRNA". It matches the Rfam family "Eukaryotic small subunit ribosomal RNA". Lineage: Eukaryota; Apicomplexa; Aconoidasida; Haemosporida; Plasmodiidae. The record is from RNAcentral.